UGGCUACAAAUGCUAUGAUUCAUUGUCCAAACGUGUUCUAAUCUCUCGUCAUGUGUACUUCGAUGAGACAGGCUUCCCUUUUACGUAGAAACAGCGAUGCAGAUGAUCGGGACUCUCCACCAUCAACCGUGCCUGGAUGACAUGAUCCUGAUCCCCACUAGUUCAUGCUAGCCAUGACAUCAUGUGCGGUCAUCAACCCGCAUGUCCACGCCUCCUCCAUCCG
This 223-nucleotide long non-coding RNA is filed under the name Sorghum bicolor (sorghum). RNAcentral's name for it is "long non-coding RNA (SBIC_LNC004316)". Lineage: Eukaryota; Viridiplantae; Streptophyta; Magnoliopsida; Poales; Poaceae. The record is from RNAcentral.